AUACGGAGGAUGCGAGCGUUAUCCGGAUUCAUUGGGUUUAAAGGGUGCGCAGGCGGACGGUUAAGUCAGCGGUGAAAAGUAUGCGCUCAACGCAUAUCGUGCCGUUGAAACUGGCCGACUAGGAUGCGGAUGCUGUGGGAGGAAUGUGUAGUGUAGCGGUGAAAUGCAUAGAUAUUACACAGAACACCGAUUGCGAAGGCAGCACACAAAACCGCGAUUGACGCUGAGGCACGAAAGUGCGGGGAGCAAACAGGAUUAGAUACCCUGGUAGUCCGCACAGUAAACGAUGAUAACUCGCUGUGGGCUCGCAAGGAGUCAGGGGCCAAGCGAAAGCGAUAAGCCAUCCACCUGGGGAGUACGACCUCAAGGUUGAAACUCAAAUGAAUUGGCGUGG
This 394-nucleotide ribosomal RNA is filed under the name uncultured bacterium. RNAcentral describes it as "partial 16S ribosomal RNA". It matches the Rfam family "Bacterial small subunit ribosomal RNA", at positions 523 to 918 of the family's 1533-position model. The record is from RNAcentral.